AUUGACUUUGGCCCAAGUUCUGACUAGGUCUGAUCUUAUGGACUAUUUCUCAAAUGAACAACUUUUUGACUUGGAUAUGCAAAAGAGGCAGCAUCUUGUUUUGAAGAUUACAACUGAGGCCAAGAGUUGAAAACUCACAACAUCAAGAGUUUUAUACCUAGAUCAAGUAUCCUUCCACUGAUGAUGUGCAUUUCUGUAAUAGAAGGAGCUCCAGGUUUAUGGAGAGUACCCUCACCCAAGAAUGAAUCAAGAACUGCUAUGGAUAAUAAACAGCAAGAAUCACUGCACCGUGCAUUUUCCAAAACCAGCUCAAUGAGGAAAUCAACUCAAUAACUAGAAUUUUACUCUUUUGAAUACAUUUAGUGGAGGAAAAAAAAAGAGAAAUGAGGAAACACUGGCUUUUUUUUGGUAGGCUGAUCCACCUCCCCUGGGACCAAGCUCUUGAAAAGCAUUAUGUUCUAAUGGAGAGAAGAUAGCCUCUGGUAUCAGGAGAUGGAGGUUCUAUUCAUGGCUCUGACAUGAAGUAUCUGUGUGACCAUGAGCAUGCCCCUUCACUUUCUUGGGUCUAUGUUAACUCCUCUGUAAAGUAGGAAUGGGAUUAAUUAAUUAUCAUUUGGUAAACUGAAUUAAAUUUUUAUAAUAAUGUAACAGAUAUCAAAGGAUGGUCAUUUAUAAUUUAAUGAAAAUUUGUCAAAAAUUUGCAUCCACAGACUUGCAACUAACAUUGGCUUUUCCAUAUAACCCAAAACAACCAUAAGACCUGAUCUUGUUUGAGAAUCCUAUGGGCUCUUAUUUCAGUUUUUAAGAGGAAAAAAAUAAAGGUAGAUGUCUGAGGAGGCUGAAUGGCA
RNAcentral lists this long non-coding RNA (848 nucleotides) under Monodelphis domestica (gray short-tailed opossum). Its description in RNAcentral is "lncRNA (ENSMODG00000045322.1)". The record is from RNAcentral. Lineage: Eukaryota; Metazoa; Chordata; Mammalia; Didelphimorphia; Didelphidae.